RNAcentral lists this ribosomal RNA (210 nucleotides) under uncultured alpha proteobacterium SUR-FREE-8. RNAcentral's name for it is "partial 16S ribosomal RNA". It matches the Rfam family "Bacterial small subunit ribosomal RNA", at positions 8 to 246 of the family's 1533-position model. The record is from RNAcentral. Lineage: Bacteria; Pseudomonadati; Pseudomonadota; Alphaproteobacteria.
AGAGUUUGAUCAUGGCUCAGAACGUACGCUGGCGGCACGCCUAACACAUGCAAGUCGAACGCAGUAGCAAUACUGAGUGGCAAACGGGUGAGUAUAAUGUGGGAAUCUGCCUUUUGGUUUGGAGUAACACGAGGAAACUUGUGCUAAUACCGGAUAAGCCUUUACGGGGAAAGUUUUAACGCCCAAAGAUGAGCCUGUACUUGAAUAGCU